RNAcentral lists this ribosomal RNA (492 nucleotides) under uncultured bacterium. Its description in RNAcentral is "partial 16S ribosomal RNA". It matches the Rfam family "Bacterial small subunit ribosomal RNA", at positions 29 to 507 of the family's 1533-position model. The record is from RNAcentral.
AGUGAACGCUGGCGGUAUGCCUAACACAUGCAAGUCGAACGGCAGCACAGUAAGUGCUUGCUCUUACGGGUGUCGAGUGGCGGACGGGUGACGUAUGCAUGGGAUUCUACUUUUUCGUGGGUGCUAACGUAGGGAAACUUACUCUAAUACCGCAUAUGACCUACGUGUGAAAGCACGGGUUCUUUGAACUUUUUGCGAGUGAAUGAGCCGAUGUAGGAUUAGCUAGUUGGCGGGGUAAAGGCACACCUAGGCGACGAUCCGUAGCUGCUCUGAGAGGAUGGUUCGCCACACUGGAACUGAGAAAGGGCACAGACACCUACAGGAGGAAGCAGUGGGGAAUAUUGGGCAAUGGGCGAAAGCCUGAUCCAGCCAUACCGCGUGAGUGAAGAAGGCCUUAGGCUUGUAAAGCCCUUUUGUUGGGAAAGAAAAGCAGCAGGUUAAUACCCCGCUAUAAUGACGGUACCGAAAGAAUAAGCACCGGCUAACUUCGUG